UACGGGGGGUGCGAGCGUUGUCCGGAAUCACUGGGCGUAAAGGGCGCGUAGGUGGCUUGGUAAGCGUGUGGUGAAAGCCCGGGGCUCAACCCCGGGUCUGCCAUGCGAACUGCCAUGGCUUGAGCACUGUAGAGGCAGGUAGAAUUCCGGGUGUAGCGGUGGAAUGCGUAGAGAUCCGGAAGAAUACCGGUGGCGAAGGCGGCCUGCUGGGCAGUGGCUGACACUGAGGCGCGACAGCGUGGGGAGCAAACAGG
RNAcentral lists this ribosomal RNA (254 nucleotides) under uncultured bacterium. RNAcentral describes it as "partial 16S ribosomal RNA". It matches the Rfam family "Bacterial small subunit ribosomal RNA", at positions 524 to 776 of the family's 1533-position model. The record is from RNAcentral.